AUUACUCCUACACUUACCUAUCAAAUGACGAAUUUUUCCUUUUUUUUUUUUGAUGAACAAAAAAUGAGGUGGAACAAAUAAAUGUCUCAUGGUGAAAGAUGAGUAUUUGAAGGAAAGCAGAUAUAUUUUAUAAUAGCAAAUCAUUAUAAUUAACUUUUCUUUUUACUCCUGUUCCUAGUUCUUGUAACAUUUUAUAAUUCUAACAUUAAUACAUUUAGUAUACACUGACUUUGUCUUAUACAGAAAAUGUUAUUGGUUACUCUAUAUUCCAUAAAGUCAAUGUUUACAUUCUGAUAUCUUCCUUGAACACAUUUAUGAAUAGCUCUAUCACUAAUAAGCCAUACUCUUCAAUUACCCCUAUAUGUAAUUGUGUUCUAUGCUAUAACUUUUUCUUGAUUAACUUUAUAGAAACUACAUCUUCAAUGAGAUAACUUAAUAUAAUUAUUUUUAUUAAAAUUGGAGUAUGGAUUUAAAAAAAAUUGUGCUUAAAAUUUGUAUAUAUAGUUAACGUGGUAAAACUAUUACUUAUUGAGGCAUAGAACUUCACCUUUUUGCAUUUCAGUUCGCUUUCUGCAGAAACUGAAAAUCUUUUUUUAUUUUUGCUACCGGGCUUCAGAGCCAGUGGGGAGAAAUCACAAGUGGUUUUCUCUUGGCCUUUCAGCCUUCUAGGGGACCUUGCCUCCGCUACAGAAAACUGCAAUGGCCAGAUACUGGAGGUUAAGAGAUUCUAGAACACGAAACAUUUAUAGAAGAUUCAAGCCUCGAGAUGGUUGUAGCCCUGGGAACUCCUGGAGGGAGACAAUUCCACAUGCAUUUAUCAGAUCCUCAGGUGACAUGCAAGGGCCCAAGAUAAAGUCACACACAGGUAAGCUACUUGGUGGAUGUAUGUUACCCACACCAGGAAGUCUGUUGUCCUUGCAGGCUAUGAAACCUUUGCCUUCUGACUUCUGCAGUGGCAAGCCACGGUACAAUAGCAGGCGUGCCAUCUCUGCCCUCUCUAAGACCUACUGUGCUUGGGUCAAACAGCAGGAAGAGGUAGGUAGUCUUCCCUGAGCAGUUCUCUGGGCAGAAAAUGAGUGCUAAGGAGAUGGUUUUGUCUUGUCCAAUGCGUGACCAUGAAGCAAGGGGACUGGUUUUCAGGUGUGUGGCAGAUGGAUAAGGGACUCGGCAGGCACUGAAGUGGAGUCUGUGUUCAUUUUAGGACUCUACUUUGCUGUUGCCUGUUUGCUUUCUUUUGAGUAUCUCCUGAAGACGGGAGAUAAUUUAGCUUCCCUCCAAUAAUGAUGCCGGCAUUAAUCCUAGGAGGAAAACUCAUUUCCAAAGUAAAUUGGUUUGCUAUAGCAAAUGUACCAGGGCAGAAAGUUGCUCUUGUCCUUUGGAAAGGAUCAGUGAUCCCAAGGUUUACUCUGAUACCAGUUGUUAGGGCCACUCUUAAUUUUUUAUGACAUUCAUUAUAUUCUAAAGCUUUUUUCAUGAAGUAAAUGCAAUAUGACCUGCUGGAAACCACAAAGACAAAAACCGAUCUGAAAAUUUCUCCACUUCCCUUGUCUCUACCUUCUGCUUGGGAGCUGUUAUUGUCCCACCUCUGAGCAGGACCUGCUCUUGCUAUGGGCCUUCCCAGGAUAGGUGAGAAACUGAAGUCUGCCUAUGAGAAGAUGUCAUCCAUUCCAUCGCUAGGUCCUUCUUCAGCCCUAGUCUCUUUCUAGCCUUCUCUCCCUUGCUAGCAUUUUGAUUGGUGACCUCCACCUCCCAUUCACUCCCUUUCUCACCUCCCACCCUUCAGACAUUCCUCAUCUGGUCACUUUGUGUUCCCUUGGUGUCAGCACUGGGCUCUAAGGUGCAAGAGCAUCGUAUGCCCCAAACAUCUGGUCUCAGAAAGCUCUGUUGAGGGCUAGAGGCUUGAGAAACUGUCAGAAUUCAC
Molecule: long non-coding RNA, 1921 nt
Filed under: Phascolarctos cinereus (koala)
Lineage: Eukaryota; Metazoa; Chordata; Mammalia; Diprotodontia; Phascolarctidae
Description: lncRNA (ENSPCIG00000031185.1)
Source: RNAcentral